Molecule: ribosomal RNA, 301 nt
Filed under: uncultured bacterium
Lineage: Bacteria
Description: partial 16S ribosomal RNA
Rfam family: Bacterial small subunit ribosomal RNA
Source: RNAcentral
CAGUCGCCGCGGGAAGACAGAGGAUGCAAGCGUUAUCCGGAAUGAUUGGGCGUAAAGGGUGCGUAGGCGGGUCCUUAAGUCAGGGGUGAAAUCCUGGAGCUCAACUCCAGAACUGCCUUUGAUACUGAAGAUCUUGAGUUCGGGAGAGGUGAGUGGAACUGCGAGUGUAGAGGUGAAAUUCGUAGAUAUUCGCAAGAACACCAGUGGCGAAGGCGGCUCACUGGCCCGAUACUGACGCUGAGGCACGAAAGCGUGGGGAGCAAACGGGAUUAGAUACCCCUGUAGUCCCUGUCUCUUAUAC